GCGGAGGAAAGAACCAACAGGGAUUGCCCUAGUAACGGCGAGUGAAGCGGCAACAGCUCAAAUUUGAAAUCUGGCCUUCGGGUCCGAGUUGUAAUUUGUAGAGGAUGCUUUUGGCGCGGUGCCUUCCGAGUUCCCUGGAACGGGACGCCUUAGAGGGUGAGAGCCCCGUACGGUUGGACAUUAAGCCUUUGUAAAGCUCCUUCGACGAGUCGAGUAGUUUGGGAAUGCUGCUCUAAAUGGGAGGUAAAUUUCUUCUAAAGCUAAAUAUUGGCCAGAGACCGAUAGCGCACAAGUAGAGUGAUCGAAAGAUGAAAAGCACUUUGAAAAGAGGGUUAAAUAGCACGUGAAAUUGUUGAAAGGGAAGCGUUUGCGACCAGACCUUUUCUUGGCGGAUCAUCCGGUGUUAUCACCGGUGCACUUCGCCAAGUCGAGGCCAGCAUCGGUUUCUGUAGGGGGAUAAAAGCCUGGGGAAUGUGGCUCCUUCGGGAGUGUUAUAGCCCUUCGCAUAAUACCCUUACGGGGACCGAGGACCGCGCUUUAUGCAAGGAUGCUGGCGUAAUGGUCGUCAACGACCCGUCU
This 579-nucleotide ribosomal RNA is filed under the name Xylaria sp. S35-1BS142. RNAcentral's name for it is "eukaryotic LSU rRNA". It matches the Rfam family "Eukaryotic large subunit ribosomal RNA", at positions 50 to 654 of the family's 3401-position model. Lineage: Eukaryota; Fungi; Ascomycota; Sordariomycetes; Xylariales; Xylariaceae. The record is from RNAcentral.